GAUAAAAUGGCUGAGGUUAGGCGAUAAAUUGUAAAUUUAUUAACGAAAUAGUUAUUUCUUUUAUCA
RNAcentral lists this transfer RNA (66 nucleotides) under Sinodendron rugosum. RNAcentral describes it as "tRNA-Tyr". It matches the Rfam family "tRNA". Rfam says of the family: Transfer RNA (tRNA) molecules are approximately 80 nucleotides in length. Their secondary structure includes four short double-helical elements and three loops (D, anti-codon, and T loops). Further hydrogen bonds mediate the characteristic L-shaped molecular structure. tRNAs have two regions of fundamental functional importance: the anti-codon, which is responsible for specific mRNA codon recognition, and the 3' end, to which the tRNAs corresponding amino acid is attached (by aminoacyl-tRNA synthetases). tRNAs cope with the degeneracy of the genetic code in two manners: having more than one tRNA (with a specific anti-codon) for a particular amino acid; and 'wobble' base-pairing, i.e. permitting non-standard base-pairing at the 3rd anti-codon position. Lineage: Eukaryota; Metazoa; Arthropoda; Insecta; Coleoptera; Lucanidae. The record is from RNAcentral.